Molecule: transfer RNA, 72 nt
Filed under: Arthrobacter phage Mimi
Lineage: Duplodnaviria; Heunggongvirae; Uroviricota; Caudoviricetes
Also listed under: 4 other names
Description: tRNA-Asn
Rfam family: tRNA
About the family: Transfer RNA (tRNA) molecules are approximately 80 nucleotides in length. Their secondary structure includes four short double-helical elements and three loops (D, anti-codon, and T loops).
Source: RNAcentral
UCCCUUGUAGUUCAACGGCAGAACAGCGCACUGUUAAUGCGUCAAUCGUGGUUCGAAUCCACGCGGGGGAGC